GCUUAUAUAGCUUAAUCAAAGCAUAACACUGAAGAUGUUAAGAUAGACCCUGAUAAGUCUUAUAGGCA
This 68-nucleotide transfer RNA is filed under the name Solenostomus cyanopterus (ghost pipefish). RNAcentral describes it as "tRNA-Phe". It matches the Rfam family "tRNA". From Rfam's summary of the family: Transfer RNA (tRNA) molecules are approximately 80 nucleotides in length. Their secondary structure includes four short double-helical elements and three loops (D, anti-codon, and T loops). Further hydrogen bonds mediate the characteristic L-shaped molecular structure. tRNAs have two regions of fundamental functional importance: the anti-codon, which is responsible for specific mRNA codon recognition, and the 3' end, to which the tRNAs corresponding amino acid is attached (by aminoacyl-tRNA synthetases). tRNAs cope with the degeneracy of the genetic code in two manners: having more than one tRNA (with a specific anti-codon) for a particular amino acid; and 'wobble' base-pairing, i.e. permitting non-standard base-pairing at the 3rd anti-codon position. The record is from RNAcentral. Lineage: Eukaryota; Metazoa; Chordata; Actinopteri; Syngnathiformes; Solenostomidae.